This 75-nucleotide transfer RNA is filed under the name Actinomycetes bacterium. RNAcentral's name for it is "Actinobacteria bacterium tRNA-Lys". It matches the Rfam family "tRNA". From Rfam's summary of the family: Transfer RNA (tRNA) molecules are approximately 80 nucleotides in length. The record is from RNAcentral. Lineage: Bacteria; Bacillati; Actinomycetota; Actinomycetes.
GCCCCCGUAGCUCAGCUGGCAAGAGCGCCGGGCUUUUAACCCGGGUUGUCGCGGGUUCGAGUCCCGCCGGGGGCA